Molecule: ribosomal RNA, 216 nt
Filed under: Salmonella enterica subsp. enterica serovar Derby
Lineage: Bacteria; Pseudomonadati; Pseudomonadota; Gammaproteobacteria; Enterobacterales; Enterobacteriaceae
Rfam family: Bacterial large subunit ribosomal RNA
Source: RNAcentral
GCACUGCCCGGUAGCUAAAUGCGGAAGAGAUAAGUGCUGAAAGCAUCUAAGCACGAAACUUGCCCCGAGAUGAGUUCUCCCUGAGACUUAAAGUCUCCUGAAGGAACGUUGAAGACGACGACGUUGAUAGGCCGGGUGUGUAAGCGCAGCGAUGCGUUGAGCUAACCGGUACUAAUGAACCGUGAGGCUUAACCUUACAACGCCGAAGAUGUUUUG